UUACUUUAGUUCGUCUUGGUUAACGAGGUUACGGUUAAGGUUAGGAGACGUUUAGAAUCAUCGCUGAAUAAGGAUAGAAAGUUCCUCCGACGAAGGGACAACGAAGCUACACGAUCGAGCAAUGUAAUCGAUGGAAACGAAACACGGGCCACGUAGAUGUCUCACGAUAGAUUUAAAAACGUAAACACGAUGCACUUGGCCAUCUGGGAGAAGCGGGAAUCGCCUGUAUUCGUACGCAACAGGAACCAAACCCAUAUGUCGUCGUCCAUUGGCGUUCGUUGACUCGCUCGAGAGAAAGGAACUCCGGAAAAUUGAAACGGAAGAGUGCACAAUGGUA
Long non-coding RNA from Colletes gigas, 337 nucleotides. RefSeq lists it as uncharacterized. The record is from RefSeq and is a predicted model, not a curated record. Lineage: Eukaryota; Metazoa; Arthropoda; Insecta; Hymenoptera; Colletidae. The transcript has 3 exons.